Molecule: ribosomal RNA, 474 nt
Filed under: uncultured bacterium
Lineage: Bacteria
Description: SSU rRNA
Rfam family: Bacterial small subunit ribosomal RNA
Source: RNAcentral
AGAACGAACGCUGGCGGCAUGCCUAACACAUGCAAGUCGAACGCUCCUGGGGCUUCGGUCUCAGGGGAGUGGCGCACGGGUGAGUAGCGCGUGGGAACCUGCCCUGUUGUGGGGGAUAACCGAGGGAAACUUCGGCUAAUACCGCAUAAGCCGGUUGUCUUGAAAGAGAUGACCGGGAAAGAUUUAUCGCGACAGGAGGGGCCCGCGUCGGAUUAGCUAGUUGGUGGGGUAACGGCCCACCAAGGCAGUGAUCCGUAGCUGGUCUGAGAGGAUGAUCAGCCACACUGGGACUGAGACACGGCCCAGACUCCUACGGAGGCAGCAGUGGGGGAAUAUUGGACAAUGGGCGCAAGCCUGAUCCAGCAAUGCCGCGUGAGUGAUGAAGGCCUUAGGGUUGUAAAGCUCUUUCGCCCGCGACGAUGAUGACGGUAGCGGGAGAAGAAGCCCGGCUAACUUCGUGCCAGCAGCCGCGGU